UCAAGCUAAUAAGGGCUAACGGUGGAUACCUAGGCACACGGAAGCGAAGAAGGACGUAGUUACCGACGAAACGCUUCGGGGAGCGGGAAGCAAGCAUUGAUCCGAAGAUAUCCGAAUGGGGCAACCCUAAACACGACCACCUGAAUACAUAGGGUGGAGCGAGCAAACCUGGUGAACUGAAACAUCUUAGUAGCCAGAGGAAAAGAAAGCAACAGCGAUUCCCCCAGUAGCGGCGAGCGAAAAGGGAACAGCCUAAACCAAGUUCUUCGGAACUUGGGGUCGUGGGACAGUGACAAAAGACUGGGAAAUUUAGACGAAGCGGCUGAAAACCGCACCAGAGAGGGUGAAAGUCCUGUAGUCGAAAAAGGAACCAGCUUAACUGCAUCCCGAGUAGCAUGGGGCACGUGAAAUCCCGUGUGAAUCUGCCUCGACCACGAGGUAAGGCUAAAUAUUCCCGUGUGACCGAUAGAGAAACAGUACCGCGAGGGAAAGGUGAAAAGAACCCCGGAAGGGGAGUGAAAUAGAACAUGAAACCGUUAGCCUACAAGCAAUGGGAGGACGAUUGAACGUCUGACCGUGUGCCUGUUGAAGAAUGAGCCGGCGACUUACAGGUUAUGGCAGGUGAAGGGGGAAGACCCCACAGCCCCAGCGAAAGCGAGUCUGAAUAGGGCGAAACGUCAUAAUUUGUAGACCCGAACCCGGGUGAUCUAACCAUGGCCAGGAUGAAGCUUGGGUAAAACCAAGUGGAGGUCCGAACCGACUAAUGUUGAAAAAUUAGCGGAUGAGCUGUGGUUAGGGGUGAAAUGCCAAUCGAACUCGGAGCUAGCUGGUUCUCCCCGAAAUGUGUUGAGGCGCAGCGGUAGUGGAAGUUUAGUCGGGGUAAAGCACUGUUUCGCCGCGGGCUGGGAGACCGGUACCAAGGCGAGGCAAACUCUGAAUACGGCUAAAAAAACUACCAGUGAGACGGUGGGGGAUAAGCUUCAUCGUCAAGAGGGAAACAGCCCAGACCACCAGCUAAGGUCCCCAAAUGAUAACUAAGUGAGAAAGGAGGUGGGAGUGCAUUGACAACCAGGAGGUUUGCCUAGAAGCAGCAACCCUUAAAAGAGUGCGUAAUAGCUCACUGGUCAAGCGCUCCUGCGCCGAAAAUGAACGGGGCUAAGUUAUCUACCGAAGCUGUGGACUACAUUGUAGUGGUAGGGGAGCGUUCUAUAGGGGGUGAAGCAGUAGCGGCAAGCAGCUGUGGACUCUAUAGAAGUGAGAAUGUCGGCUUAAGUAGCGAAAAUGUGGGUGAGAAUCCCACACCCCGAAACCCCAAGGUUUCCUCCGCAAGGCUCGUCCGCGGAGGGUCAGUCAGGACCUAAGGCGAGGCUGAAAAGCGUAGUCGAUGGACAACGGGUUAACAUUCCCGUACCGAUUAAUGAUUGUGCCGGAGAACGGAGAAGGUCAACGUCAGCUGGAUGUUGGUUACCAGUGCAAGCAGUCGAGGCGAUGAGAGGUGGUGAAAACACCAGGAGCUAAGACGCGAGUCCCACCUCCCACGGGAGGGAAGUGGCGCUGAUCAAGCUUCCUAGAAAAGCCCGAACCACGUUAAUCAUUAAUUGCCUGUACCCGAAACCGACACAGGUGGGGAAGUAGAGAAUACUAAGGGGCGCGAGAUAACUCUCUCUAAGGAACUCGGCAAAAUGACCCCGUAACUUCGGGAGAAGGGGUACCCUCGCAAGAGGGUCGCAGUGAAUAGGCCCAGGCGACUGUUUACCAAAAACACAGGUCUCCGCCAAGUCGUAAGACGCAGUAUGGAGGCUGACGCCUGCCCAGUGCCGGAAGGUUAAGGAAGUUGGUCAGGAGUAAUCUGAAGCUGACGACCGAAGCCCCGGUGAACGGCGGCCGUAACUAUAACGGUCCUAAGGUAGCGAAAUUCCUUGUCGGGUAAGUUCCGACCCGCACGAAAGGCGUAACGAUCUGGGCACUGUCUCGGAGAGAGACUCGGCGAAAUAGGAUUGUCUGUGAAGAUACGGACUACCUGCACCUGGACAGAAAGACCCUAUGAAGCUUUACUGUAGCCUGGAAUUGGCUUCGGGCUUCGCUUGCGCAGGAUAGGUGGGAAGCUUUGAAACUCUCCUCGUGGGGAGAGUGGAGCUAACGGUGAGAUACCACUCUGGCGAGGCUAGAAUUCUAACCCUGACCCCUAAUCGGGGCGGGAGACAGUUUCAGGUGGGCAGUUUGACUGGGGCGGUCGCCUCCUAAAAGGUAACGGAGGCGCGCAAAGGUUCCCUCGGUCCCGUUGGAAAUGGGACGAUAGAGUGCAAAAGCAGAAGGGAGCUUGACUGUGAGACCCACAAGUCGAACAGGGACGAAAGUCGGCUUUAGUGAUCCGACGGCACCGCGUGGAAGGGCCGUCGCUCAACGGAUAAAAGUUACUCUAGGGAUAACAGGCUGAUCUCCCCCAAGAGUUCACAUCGACGGGGAGGUUUGGCACCUCGAUGUCGGCUCAUCGCAACCUGGGGCUGAAGUCGGUCCCAAGGGUUGGGCUGUUCGCCCAUUAAAGCGGUACGUGAGCUGGGUUCAGAACGUCGUGAGACAGUUCGGUCCAUAUCCGGUGUAGGCGUAAGAGCAUUGCGAGGAGCCUUCCUUAGUACGAGAGGACCGGGAAGGACGCACCGCUGGUGUACCUGUUAUCGUGCCAACGGUAAACGCAGGGUAGCCAUGUGCGGAGCGGAUAACCGCUGAAAGCAUCUAAGUGGGAAGCCCACCUCCAGAUGAUUGCUCUCAUGGCAUUAAGCCAGUAAGGUCUCGGGUAGACUACCCGUUGAUAGGCUCUAGAUGGAAGCUCGGUAACGAGUGCAGUCGAGGAGUACUAACCGACCGAGGGCUUGACCUG
RNAcentral lists this ribosomal RNA (2878 nucleotides) under Microcystis aeruginosa PCC 9432. RNAcentral's name for it is "bacterial LSU rRNA". It matches the Rfam family "Bacterial large subunit ribosomal RNA". The record is from RNAcentral. Lineage: Bacteria; Bacillati; Cyanobacteriota; Cyanophyceae; Chroococcales; Microcystaceae.